UUUUUUUUUUUUUAAAGUUAUUUGAGAGGGAGCGCGGGCAGAGAGCCAGAGGGAGAGAGAAUCCCAAGUAGGCUCCAUACCAUCAGCACAGAGCCCAAAUGGGGACUCCAGUUCACAAGUGUGAGAUACCACCUGGCUGAAAUCAAGAGCUUAACCGACUGAACCACCCAGGUCCCCCUUCGUCUAGGAAAGUAAGAGCAGUGAACAAAACCUGCCCUCAUGGGGCUUCCAUUGCAGUCGGGGAGACACAGUAAACAAAGUAAAAUACAAUAUACCAGGUGCUGAUAAGUGCUGUGGAGAAAGAGGGGUAAUGCUCGCUUUGUAGAAUGAAUUUGGAAGAGUUUUUUGGAAUCAUUUGAGAAAGAUAAGUGUUAACUCUUUUUUCUUACUAUUUUUUUAUUUAAAAAAAAUUUUAACAUUUAUUUUUAAGAGACAGUGACAGAGGCAUAGAGAGAGGGAGAAAUAGAAUCUGAAACAGGAUCCAGGCUCUGAGCUGUCAGCAUAGAGCCUGACAUGGGGUUUGAACUCGUGAAUCGCAAGACCAUGACCUGAGUUAAAGUCAGAUGCUUCACUGACUGAGCCACCCAGGUGCCCCUCUUACUAUUUUUUUUUUAACAUUUAUUUUAUUUUUGAGAGAAAGAGAAACAGAAUGUGAGCAGGGGAGGGGCAGAGAGAGAGAGGGAGACACAGAAUCUGAAGCAGGCUGCAGACUCUGAGCUGUCAGCACAGAACCUGAUGCAGGGCUCGAACUCACGAACUGAGAGAUCAUGACCUGAGCCAAAGUCGGGUGCUUAACCGACUGAGCCACCCAGGUGCCCCUUAACUCUUCUUUAAAUGUUUAGUAGAAUUUGCUUGUGAAGCAUGUGGUCCUGGGCUUUUC
This is a long non-coding RNA of Panthera uncia (snow leopard), 880 nucleotides long. RefSeq lists it as uncharacterized. The transcript has 3 exons. NCBI's taxonomy places the organism in Eukaryota, Metazoa, Chordata, Mammalia, Carnivora, Felidae. The record is from RefSeq and is a predicted model, not a curated record.